Molecule: non-coding RNA, 45 nt
Filed under: Schistosoma margrebowiei
Lineage: Eukaryota; Metazoa; Platyhelminthes; Trematoda; Strigeidida; Schistosomatidae
Source: RNAcentral
AUCCAGCGGACAAGUCCCAAAUAGGACGAAACGCGCGUCCUGGAU